CCGAGGUUCAGCGCUCGGGUGAGAAGCUGGUGGCGUCGGCAGGUUCCAGACGGUUCGAGGCGAUUCGAGCUCCAGCUAGGAUGAUCGAGGUUGUUUGCAACGACCGUCUGGGGAAGAAGGUCCGCGUUAAAUGCAACACGGAUGAUACCAUCGGGGACCUUAAGAAGCUGAUUGCAGCCCAAACUGGCACCCGUUGGAACAAGAUUGUCCUGAAGAAGUGGUACACGAUUUUUAAGGACCACGUGUCUCUGGGGGACUGUAUCCUUUGUGUGACUUUUUGAGGAAGCAUCUACAUACCCAGCCUCGGUUAUCUUUGUUCAAAACUAAAGUCUGCAUGAGCUUAUGCAUAUUAAGUGUUUAACUUAAUACGUGGCACAUGGUGAGCACUUAGAAAAUGGGAGCUAGGUAAUUAUUUGGUUGGGGAGGAGGGUGGUUGGUGAAAUAGUUUGACUUCAAGUUCAAAAUAUUUAUUACUGACCUCCACCUGGGUGCUGGAUAGUAGGUCAGGGUGGAGUGUGAGACUCAGGCAUAUCUAUUGUGCAGAAGGAACAGAAACUUUUUAAAAUUUUUAUUUUAUUUAUUUUUUUUUUUGAGACAGUCUGGCUCUGUCGCCCAGGCUGGUAUGCGGUGGCACGAUCCUGACCUACUGCAACCUCCACCUCCCGGGUUCAAGCAAUUCUGCCUCAGCUUCCCAAGUAGCUGGGAUUACGGGUGUGUGCCACCACUCCCUGCUAGUUUUUGUAUUUUUAGUAGAGAUGGGGUUCCACCAUGUAUGCCAGGCUAGUCUCAAACUCCUGGCCUCAAGUGAUCCUCCCGCCUUGGCCUCCCAAAGUGCUGGGAUUAUAGCCGUGAGCCACUGCGCCUGGCCUAGAAGGAACAGAAACUUUUUUUUUUUUUUUUUUUUUGAGAUGGAGUUUUGCUCUUGUUGCCGAGGCUGGAGUGCAGUGGUACAAUCUUGGCUCACUGCAGCCUCUACCUGCCAGGUUUAAGUGAUUUUCCUGUCUCAGCCUUCCAAGUAGCUGGGAUUACGGGUGCCCACCACCACACCCAGCUAACUUUUUGUAUUUUUAAUCUUCCUGCCCCUCUUUCCUCUCCCAUCCUCAUCCCCCACACUGGGAUAGGUGCU
Molecule: small RNA, 1126 nt
Filed under: Pongo abelii (Sumatran orangutan)
Lineage: Eukaryota; Metazoa; Chordata; Mammalia; Primates; Hominidae
Description: retained intron
Source: RNAcentral